GAUGAACGCUGGCGGCGUGCCUAAUACAUGCAAGUCGAGCGAACAGAUAAGGAGCCUGCUCCUUUGACGUUAGCGGCGGACGGGUGAGUAACACGUGGGUAACCUACCUAUAAGACUGGGAUAACUUCGGGAAACCGGAGCUAAUACCGGAUAAUAUUUCGAACCGCAUGGUUCGAUAGUGGAAGAUGGUUUUGCUAUCACUUAUAGAUGGACCCGCGCCGUAUUAGCUAGUUGGUAAGGUAACGGCUUACCAAGGCGACGAUACGUAGCCGACCUGAGAGGGUGAUCGGCCACACUGGAACUGAGACACGGUCCAGACUCCUACGGGAGGCAGCAGUAGGGAAUCUUCCGCAAUGGGCGAAAGCCUGACGGAGCAACGCCGCGUGAGUGAUGAAGGUCUUCGGAUCGUAAAACUCUGUUAUUAGGGAAGAACAUACGUGUAAGUAACUGUGCACGUCUUGACGGUACCUAAUCAGAAAGCCACGGCUAACUACGUG
Molecule: ribosomal RNA, 497 nt
Filed under: uncultured bacterium
Lineage: Bacteria
Description: partial 16S ribosomal RNA
Rfam family: Bacterial small subunit ribosomal RNA
Source: RNAcentral